RNAcentral lists this long non-coding RNA (759 nucleotides) under Malus domestica (apple). Its description in RNAcentral is "long non-coding RNA (MDOM_LNC012567)". The record is from RNAcentral. Lineage: Eukaryota; Viridiplantae; Streptophyta; Magnoliopsida; Rosales; Rosaceae.
CAAUCCAAUUGCUUAUAUUUAAUUCAAUCACUUAGUGAAUUAAAAUUUCAUUUUAAUUCACCUUUCUUCUUUGACGACUACAUUUAAUCAUCUAGAAGAACUCACAAGCUAUGAGUGACAUUUAACCAUAUGUCAUAGCUACCCAAGCUAAUGUAGAAGUUUAUUCGAAGAACCUAGUCAGUUGGAAUUACAAUAUAAUUCAAUCCUUCUCUAAUACAAUACUCUCAAUCACAUCAUUAGGGUAUGGAUAUAUCAUGUCAAACCCCUAAUGUGAUUAUUCCUUCUUAUAUGAUCCAAUUGAGUCGUAUAGGAACGCUUCCCUUUAUUACGCUCGAUACUUCGGCCGAAGAUUCCUGAAUCAUAUCUUAGAGUAUUCUUCCUCUUUUAUCGAGGAUUAGAGAUUCCUUGUUGCGCAUACACUUGCCUUCAUGACUAAGUGGCUUAACCCCAACUAUGCCAUUGACACUCUGAUAGAGUGACGUUGACAUAAUCAAAGAUUAAUUACUUAACCACAAGACAACGACGAUGCCUCAAGUCAAAGGAUUACUUACAUUAUUCCAACCAUUUGAGUUACUUGCUUGACAUGUGAGUAGACCUCCAUACAAGUACUCUGAGUCGAUUGUGUUCAGUGAACUCAUUCCCUUAAUGAGCACCUACAUACUUGUCUUAGUGUCACAACACGAAUGGGUUGAGACUUUCCAUCCUUCCAAUUGAAGCGGACACAGUAUGUACCGGUCUAAGCAUUGUCAGUAUCCCUCC